RNAcentral lists this long non-coding RNA (647 nucleotides) under Capsicum annuum. RNAcentral describes it as "long non-coding RNA (CANN_LNC006647)". Lineage: Eukaryota; Viridiplantae; Streptophyta; Magnoliopsida; Solanales; Solanaceae. The record is from RNAcentral.
CUAACACCCUAAAAUCGAUAUUUUGGAUCUUCUGGCGAAGUCGAAUUUUCCAUCCGAGGUCGUUUCGAUCAAAUGUGGAUCUCACACCCAUAUUUCAAAUUUUCCAACUUUCUGAUCAAUAGGUCGAAAUGAGCUCGGGUGCACCGGAAUCCGAACCAAAGGUCUACUUAACGUAAAAUUGAUAUUUUGGAGCUUCUGGCACAGUUCGUUCGGCCAUCUGUCGCACGGAUCAAAAGAUAUUCACAUAAGUCCAAAAUAAGGCUCUCAAAGUCAUCAAAAACCACAACAUUACAUAAAUGAUACCAAAAUGCAUCAAAAAUUAUGUCAAUCACUCCCACACCCUAGAAAUAUCAUAAUGUAACUACGGAGAGGGAUAAAACAGUCAAAUCACACAAAAUCACAAAUUUUACAUAUUUCAUCAAAUUUUCAGAUCGUUACAUGCUUCAUAUCACAAAAAAAUAAAAUAAUAAUCAGUUAGACACAUGUAAAAUUUGAACAACCUUAUAAAUUAAAAUUGAGUCUUAUACAAUCAUAGCAUUAAAUUAUACAAGAGGAAUUAAGGACUAUCUCAUGAGAAGAUUAAUUCACCAUAAAAAGAAUGAACGAACCACUAACUUGAAACUGCAAGAGCAAAGCCUCGAACUCUU